UCCAGACUCCUACGGGAGGCAGCAGUGGGGAAUAUUGCACAAUGGGGGAAACCCUGAUGCAGCGGCGCCGCGUGAGUGAAGAAGUAUUUCGGUAUGUAAAGCUCUAUCAGCAGGGAAGAAAAUGACGGUACCUGAUUAAGAAGCCCCGGCUAACUACGUGCCAGCAGCCGCGGUAAUACGUAGGGGGCAAGCGUUAUCCGGAUUUACUGGGUGUAAAGGGAGCGUAGACGGCGUGCCAAGUCUGAUGUGAAAGGCCGGGGCUCAACCCCGGGACUGCAUUGGAAACUGGCAUGCUGGAGUGCCGGAGGGGCGAGCGGAAUUCCUAGUGUAGCGGUGAAAUGCGUAGAUAUUAG
Molecule: ribosomal RNA, 353 nt
Filed under: uncultured bacterium
Lineage: Bacteria
Description: bacterial SSU rRNA
Rfam family: Bacterial small subunit ribosomal RNA
Source: RNAcentral